This 63-nucleotide transfer RNA is filed under the name Anurida maritima. RNAcentral describes it as "tRNA-Asp". Lineage: Eukaryota; Metazoa; Arthropoda; Collembola; Poduromorpha; Neanuridae. The record is from RNAcentral.
AAAGAAUUAAUUUAACAGCAAAAUAUAAAAUGUCAUUUUAAAACACCCUUCAGGUAUUCUUUU